RNAcentral lists this ribosomal RNA (563 nucleotides) under Nothrus sp. Its description in RNAcentral is "SSU rRNA". It matches the Rfam family "Eukaryotic small subunit ribosomal RNA", at positions 1241 to 1816 of the family's 1831-position model. Lineage: Eukaryota; Metazoa; Arthropoda; Arachnida; Sarcoptiformes; Nothridae. The record is from RNAcentral.
UGACAGAUUGAGAGCUCUUUCUUGAUUCAGUGGGUGGUGGUGCAUGGCCGUUCUUAGUUGGUGGAGCGAUUUGUCUGGUUAAUUCCGAUAACGAACGAGACUCUAGCCUACUAAAUAGAUCGUCGGCUUACAAACGCCGAUGAGACUUCUUAGAGGGACAGGCGGCGAUUCAGCCGCACGAAACAGAGCAAUAACAGGUCUGUGAUGCCCUUAGAUGUCCGGGGCCGCACGCGCGCUACACUGAAGUGAUCAGCGUGCAUUUUCAGCCUACUCUGCCAAGAGUGGGAAACCCAAUGAACCUUCUUCGUGAUUGGGAUAGGGGAUUGUAAUUAUUCCCCUUGAACGAGGAAUUCCCAGUAAGCGCGAGUCAUAAGCUCGCGUUGAUUACGUCCCUGCCCUUUGUACACACCGCCCGUCGCUACUACCGAUUGAAUGUUUUAGUGAGGUCUUCAGACUGGCCGGCGCAGCUGCUCUCGUAGUGGCAGCGCUGUGUUUGGGAAGAUGCCCAAACUUGAACAUUUAGAGGAAGUAAAAGUCGUAACAAGGUUUCCGUAGGUGAACCU